RNAcentral lists this unclassified non-coding RNA (345 nucleotides) under soil metagenome. RNAcentral describes it as "partial contains 5.8S ribosomal RNA, internal transcribed spacer 2, and large subunit ribosomal RNA". The stretch from base 1 to 119 matches the Rfam family "5.8S ribosomal RNA", at positions 35 to 154 of the family's 154-position model. The record is from RNAcentral.
GAUGAAGAACGUAGCGAAAUGCGAUACGUAAUGUGAAUUGCAAAUUCAGUGAAUCAUCGAGUCUUUGAACGCACAUUGCGCCCCCUGGUAUUCCGGGGGGCAUGCCUGUCCGAGCGUCAUUGCUGCCCUCAAGCACGGCUUGUGUGUUGGGCCCCGUCCUCCGAUCCCGGGGGACGGGCCCGAAAGCCAGCGGCGGCACCGCGUCCGGUCCUCGAGCGUAUGGGGCUUUGUCACCCGCUCUGUAGGCCCGGCCGGCGCUUGCCGAUCAACCCAAAUUUUUAUCCAGGUUGACCUCGGAUCAGGUAGGGAUACCCGCUGAACUUAAGCAUAUCAAUAAGCGGAGGA